UGAAAAAAACAAUAGAAACCAUUACAGAAUUUGUAAUGGUUUUAAUGGUUCUUAUUGGAAUUCUAAUGGUUUUAAUGGACACUGUAAUGGUCUCUGUGGGUCUCUAUUGGUACUUUGCUUUUUUCUAUUGGUGGCGUGUAUUGUCUAUUGGAUACCAUUAAGGACCAAUAGAACACCUUUAGAAACUUCUGGUAUCUACUGGACACCAGUAGAAACCAUUAUGACUCCAAUAAAUUUAGUGGUUUCUUUGGAAAACUGUAAUGGUCUUAGUGGGUAGGCUACUGCUGAAAAAAAAAAUGAACACACAAACAAUAGAAACUAUUACAAAAUUUGUAAUGGUUUUAAUAGUUAUAAUGGGAAUUAUGUUGGUUGUAAUGGUCACAGUAAUGGUCCCUGUGGGUCUCUAUUGGUAAAUUGCUUUUUUCUAUUGGUGGUAUGUAUUGUCUUGGAUUGCCACCAUACGUCAUUUGGAAAGGUUAUUUUUAAUUCAUUUAAUUUUUUUUUUUUUUUUUUUUUUUUUUUUAAAUCAACUCGACUCGUCAUGGCCUUCAAAAUUGACUUGAAAAGUUGGUCUUUGUUUUGUCUGUCGGAUUUGGUCCAAAUUUAGCCCAAAAAUAGAUGUGAAAUAACAGUGAAAUUCUGCGUGACUUCCACAUGCUGUAAUGUGCGCGCGCGCAGAACUGGAGCGGAGGACGUCACCAUGGAAACGAGGCGGCAGCCCAACCGUCAAGCAGCUGAUCGCUGACACUCAAUGUGGUUUCACUUUUUUUUUUAGAAAUGGUUUAGCGUCGUCAGAAAAAGUCCGUUAGCAUCUCAAAGAAGUGCCAGAAAAAAACCUCUAUGACGCAGGAGAAGUUCCUGAUUUUAACAUUUCUGAAGGGGGCUGCUGACAGAGAGGAUGAAAACAUACACAUUUUGAUGUCCACGCUGUAGGAGCAUUACUAAAUAAGUAAAACUAAAAUAUAUAUAUUUAUUGUAAAUGAUUAUAUAAAUUAUAUAUUCUUUGAAUUAUUAUUUUUCUUUUCUGCAUUUCACCUCUGCUAUAGUAUAUGCCUUAUACCUGGCAUUGUAUAAUAAAUAUUGUUGUCUCUGUGACAGUGCUUAUGUUCCUAGGUUCUUCCAUGCUGAUGACUGUGCUCUAGUCAUAUCUCCUGUCGAAGAACAUUUUUAGACAUUAUGAACCAUGAAUAAGUUUAGCUCCAACCCCAGUUAAGCAGACCUGAGCAGCUGAUCAAGGAUCAGCAGAAACUCUGCAGAACGGUGGUCCUCCAGCCCAGGACUGGACACCAGUGUUAGUGUCUGUCUCAGAAGCUGAAGAAAAAAGGCCACACCUUAUAGGAAAUAAACACCUCCUAAGUGUAUGGAAAUACCUGGCUGAGGAGAUCAGUGACAUAAACCAGAUAAAACUGUCAGUGGUCUGAGACAGCUACAAGCCACAAAAACAGUUCAUAGUUCCUGCAUUUCUAUAAUGCAUUAAUGAAUAACAAUAAUUAAAAUAAAAUGUAAUGUCAAGGUUUUGUGUUAAUUCCAGCUAUGUUGAGUAUUCUGUGAAUAAUUUUGAUUUUAGGUGCAUAUUCUUAAUUCUUUGCAAAACAACCUGAACUGUUUGCUAUUGAAAGGUUGGUAUGAAGUUUAAAUAAAUAAAAACAUUAUAUUCUUGACAAAACCUGUGUACAGUUUGUAUUAAUAAUUUAAAUUAUUUACUUAUAUUAAUUAAUGGCCUAAUUACCAGCUAUCAGUUAAACAUUCAAAUCAGAACCAAUAUAAAACUGCAACGAAAACUAUUAAAUAUAUGCAAAUAAAGACCAGUACAAACUUGCAAUGGAACCAUCAGAACCAUUACAAAACCAACGGAAACCAUUAAAUUUGUUUUAAUAAAGACCAAUACAAACUUGUAAUGGAACCAUCAAAACCAUUACAAAACCAACAGAAACCAUUACAUUUGUUUUAAUAAAGACCAAUACAAACUUGUAAUGGAACCAUUACAAAACCAACAGAAACCAUUAAAUUUGUUUUAAUAAAGACCAAUACAAACUUGUAAUGGAACCAUCAGAACCAUUACAAAACCAACAGAAACCAUUAAAUUUGUUUUAAUAAAGACCAAUACAAACUUGUAAUGGAACCAUCAGAACCAUUACAAAACCAACAGAAACCAUUACAUUUGUUUUAAUAAAGACCAAUACAAACUUGUAAUGGAACCAUUACAAAACCAACAGAAACCAUUAAAUUUGUUUUAAUAAAGACCAAUACAAACUUGUAAUGGAACCAUCAGAACCAUUACAAAACCAACAGAAACCAUUAAAUUUGUUUUAAUAAAGACCAAUACAAACUUGUAAUGGAACCAUCAAAACCAUUACAAAACCAACAGAAACCAUUAAAUUUGUUUUAAUAAAGACCAAUACAAACUUGUAAUGGAACCAUCAAAACCAUUACAAAACCAACAGAAACCAUUACAUUUGUUUUAAUAAAGACCAAUACAAACUUGUAAUGGAACCAUCAGAACCAAUACAAAACUGUGAUGGAAACCAUUAUGUGCAAAUCGUGACCAAUACAAACUUGUAAUGGAAACCAAUACAAACCAAUAAAUCCUAAUGGAAUAUGCCCAAAACACACUACGUAAUGGAAACCAUUUGGUAAUGGUUUUAAUGGUUAAUUGCUGAUGGUUUGUAAUGGUUUUGUAAUGGAAACCAUUAGAAUUUCUGUAAUGGUUUCUAUUGUU
Carassius gibelio (silver crucian carp) is the source of this 2719-nucleotide long non-coding RNA. RefSeq lists it as uncharacterized. NCBI's taxonomy places the organism in Eukaryota, Metazoa, Chordata, Actinopteri, Cypriniformes, Cyprinidae. The transcript is spliced from 6 exons. The record is from RefSeq and is a predicted model, not a curated record.